Molecule: ribosomal RNA, 497 nt
Filed under: uncultured bacterium
Lineage: Bacteria
Description: partial 16S ribosomal RNA
Rfam family: Bacterial small subunit ribosomal RNA
Source: RNAcentral
GAUGAACGCUGGCGGCGUGCCUAAUACAUGCAAGUCGAGCGAACAGACGAGGAGCUUGCUCCUCUGACGUUAGCGGCGGACGGGUGAGUAACACGUGGAUAACCUACCUAUAAGACUGAGAUAACUUCGGGAAACCGGAGCUAAUACCGGAUAAUAUAUUGAACCGCAUGGUUCAAUAGUGAAAGACGGUUUUGCUGUCACUUAUAGAUGGAUCCGCGCCGCAUUAGCUAGUUGGUAAGGUAACGGCUUACCAAGGCAACGAUGCGUAGCCGACCUGAGAGGGUGAUCGGCCACACUGGAACUGAGACACGCUCCAGACUCCUACGGGAGGCAGCAGUAGGGAAUCUUCCGCAAUGGGCGAAAGCCUGACGGAGCAACGCCGCGUGAGUGAUGAAGGUCUUCGGAUCGUAAAACUCUGUUAUUAGGGAAGAACAAAUGUGUAAGUAACUAUGCACGUCUUGACGGUACCUAAUCAGAAAGCCACGGCUAACUACGUG